RNAcentral lists this ribosomal RNA (125 nucleotides) under Kappamyces laurelensis. RNAcentral describes it as "partial small subunit ribosomal RNA". It matches the Rfam family "Eukaryotic small subunit ribosomal RNA", at positions 1657 to 1779 of the family's 1831-position model. Lineage: Eukaryota; Fungi; Chytridiomycota; Chytridiomycetes; Rhizophydiales; Kappamycetaceae. The record is from RNAcentral.
CCUUUGUACACACCGCCCGUCGCUAGUACCGAUUGAAUGGCUUAGUGAGACCUCCGGAUGGGCGGCUCGAUGGUGGCAACACUGUUGGGCUGGCGAAAAGCUGGUCAAACUUGGUCAUUUAGAGG